Molecule: long non-coding RNA, 17587 nt
Organism: Mus musculus (house mouse)
Lineage: Eukaryota; Metazoa; Chordata; Mammalia; Rodentia; Muridae
Product: predicted gene, 53457
Exons: 2
Source: RefSeq, a predicted model, not a curated record
GACUGAGCAACUGCUAGAUCCUUGGACUUCCAUCCACAGCUGCUGCUGAUCAUUGUCGGGAGUCGGACUACAGACUGCUUUAUCAUGAUUUAUCUCCAUCGUCAUCAUCAUCAUCACUGUCACCACCACUACUAUGUUCUAAGAUACUACUCAAGGAAGAAUGUUGCUUGCUUUUUGUUGGGACCGUGAUGGACUUUCACCCUACCAUACCCCUCGGUGCUGAAGCUGGACUCUAUAUAUCCCAAGGCUCACACAGUCUCCGAAGUUGCAGUCCGCCCCGUCUGUUUUAACCUAAGCUUGUGAGAGCAUCUCUUCUGCUCAAUUAGUGUUGCUGCAGAAUACCAUUUCCUCCUGUGGCUGAUAAAAUAUUAAUCAAAAACAGGAACUGAGCAAUUUCUCGGGGUGGAUGUCUUCUAAUGGUAAUACAGGGCGGCAAAGAGAGAUCUAGAGGUCGUUUAACAGUGACUGAGGAGGCAGGGGAGAGUGACAUGGGACUAGGGAGAUGGCAAGAGCAGCCCAAGGGUCAGGAGAGUUGUUGCCACCCAACACGGGAGAGAACCGGAGGCCCGCAUACCGUGGUUCCUGCCAGGCCAGAGGAACGGUCUAAAUAAAGGAUGGGUUUUGUUGCUGCCAAAGAAUGACAAAGACACCAGGAUGUUGGCUGUUUGUGUUUUUAAUCUGAACUUCAUUCUUCUGCCCCUUGUGGGUUUCAUGACUGCGCUUCCUGCCUUAGUAAAUAAAGGCCAUACAGCAGAGAUGGGUGAAUCUCAACUGUCCUGAGUUUGUGAUGUCUGUUUUCUGUUUCCUUCUGUCUCUUCCCUCCAUGGCCAUGCACAGGGGAGUGAAAAGAACACAGCUUCAGGUAAACCCAACAUGGGAGCACAACUGGGUUCCGUCAAAUCGCUUCUUCUCCCCGACCCUGGACUUCCUGAAUCGCCCCUACAACUGUCGUUCUCCCCGUCGAGAACCAAAAGCAUGUUAACACCUUGGAAGACCUAGGUGAACGCUUUCCACACUCCAUUACCCGACCCUGCCCCCACAAGCAUAUGUGCUCUCACAGGGCCACAGAGACUUAUUCCCAAAUAGGCUGAUGCCACCAAGAAUGCUCCUUUUUAAAUCAGUGACUGACUACUAUCUGAUACUUUGAGAAAUCCAGCUGUGGGAAAGAGCUAAGCAACCCAACCUGAGAACCCAGUAUCACUAAUGCUUACCUUAGAUGAUAAGAUACACGCCUUUUUUCGUUAGUGCCAUUUCAGAUGUUCAAGUGGAAAAAUCUAUGCCAAAGUCCCAAACUCUGAUAACACCAGAAUCUGGAACUCUGGCCCUCAGUAUUGGCUACAACGGACUUUCCAUUUGUUCUCGUGCAAUACGGGGGCAAGUGUAAAGCAUUUUGAGAACGCCUAUGAAGUCAGAAACUGGCACAGCAUACUCCCUAAAGAGGGCAAAUGUGUGUUUAGAAUUUAACUUAGAAAGAUGAGCGGGUUUACAUCACUGACGGGUGUGUAUGUCUGGUCUCUCCCUCAUGAGUAAAACUGUCCACCCAACAAAGGAUGGAGCCUAAAUAUAUAGGUAGUCUUCUAUAAUAUAGCUAGAUGUUAGCAGCACCAGAUUGGUCUACACCUUUGAUCGUUUUCUGCCUUCUCCACAUCCCUCCUCCUUUCUGACUCUUUCUUAGGACAGCCCAUCACCGCCUACUCCCUCACAGUGAAACACUGGGUUGAAAAGCAGAGACGAUCCACGAGAUGACCACUGAGGCUUCGCUAAGGUUCCCUGGCAUCAAUAAUCAAGUUGUGCGAGUGAGCCACCCAAGGUCUGGAGGCAAGGCUGUCAAUUCUUCACUGUGUACUCACACGCAGUGUGCUUCCUUGCCGGCUGCUUCUAGAACCAGCCGUCUCCUUGGUCCUGCCAACCCGUCUUCCACGAGGUGCCUAUUUGUCCAAGCAUCACUGCCCUGGCGCUCUCUGUGCCUUUUAUGUGUGAAUCACGGUGAAGCACAAACCCAUCAAUCUUCUAUCCCAUGCCAUCAAGGAGCCUCUCCCUGGACUCAGGAAGCUGAACUUCAGGGACUUUGGAUAAAAAGGAAGUCUCUCUAAGAAGACUGGGCCUGGUGAGGGCAAACCCCUUCACUCUGCAUGAGUGGCAGAUGCAGAGAUUCACGAUGCCGUCUUGGCAUUCUGUCCCGCACAGGGAACACCACUACCAUCCACUGCCCUCCCACCCAUGUCCCAUUCUCUGGACAAUCCUACUUGCCCAUGUUGCAUUUGUAUUUGUCUUUCUUGGCAUGAUAUUUUUUUGUUCUGCCCAAGCACCAGCAAGAUUAAGGAGUCCCCUCUCUGCUCUGUACGUGCGGAAUCAGCGAGCAGAGCCUAGGAAUUACCACCUGCUUCCUCAUCCUCAAAAAAAUGGAAUUGAAAGUCUUCGAGACAUUAAAACCAAUUAAUACUGUGAAAUGCUGCUCAAAUUACCCUCUUUAAUGUGUGUCCUCUUAAUUACCAUCUGCUUUUACAUCUAAAAACUUCACUCCCAGUGUUCCUGUCAUGAUUUUUGGCUCUUCUCACUACAGUCCAUUAGAAUGAUAAAAAGCCAUUUUAAAAGUUUAAAGUCUGGCUUAGCGAUCCCACACCUGGGAACACGCCCCAUCGGGGAAUCAAAGCAUCAGUCUAGACUGGGCAAGGGUGCUGACUACAUCACUAUUCAUGGCCUGCACAGAGGGAGAAACCUCAGACACCAAGUGAAAGCCCAACAGACUCUACUUGGGGGAUGGAUGUGGAAUCAGGAUAUAAUCACGGCAAGGAAUACUGUUCUCCUGCUUACGAGAAGAGCAAAAUUCAAAUCUUUAUGCAUAGACAGACCCUACAUUUUAUAUCAAGCAGGUGCGUGGGGGAGGGACUCAUAAAAGCCCUAUCUUAAUGCAUUCACACUGCCAUAACAAAAUGUCAUGCACAUGCAUACUCCGCCAGGGACUAGAAGUACAAGGUCAAAGUGCAGUAGAUUUGGUGUCUAUUUGGUCUACUCUAAGGGUGUGGAAGGCACCUCCUCACUUCAUGUGGUAGGAGAGGUGAGGAUCUUUCUCGUACUUCUUUUAAAAAAUUGUAGGUUUUCUUUGAGAAUUUCAUAUAUAUGUUUGAUCACAUUUACCGGCCACUCCCUGCUUCCCACUGUUCUGAAAUUUCCCCCAGGUCUCCCCGAAAUAUUACAUCCUUGAUCCAUGGUCCACUGAGUGGAACGGGUAUUGCCUGUAAGAAUGAACAAACCACCUGGACCCGUAUCCCCAAGGAAAAUGAACUCCCUCCACCCCAGCUCAACUGCCAAGAACCCCUCAGCUAGGGGAGGGGAGGGGAUUUCAAGUGUCCCUUCCCUUCCGGGGUGAAAUGUUGACUGGUUAGAUUGGGUAAAUCUUGUCCAGGCAACCAUAGGUACUAUGAAUGCCUGAUGUAAUGGCUCCGUCAUAUCCAGAAGACAUCUUUUUGUCCCAGUCUGCUCUGACUUCCGUCUCUUACAAUAGUCACACUCCCUAAUCCAGUGUGUUCCAUGAGCCUUAUGGGGAGGGAAUCUAUGACGACUCUACCCUAUGACUCAAUGACAUCCUAAAGACACCCCCAUGUGAAUUGGGAUUUCAACCCAUCAUUCUGAAUAAUGGAAAUAAACAUUCCAAUCAUAGUAAAUUCUAAGUAUAUGUAUACCACACACACACACACACACACACUCACACACACACUUGUGUGUGCACAAGAGUGUUUCAUAUACAUAUACCUAUAUGUGAUAUAUGCAUUCUACACAGAAUAGGAACAAACACGAAGUGUGGAGGAAGCAGAUUGCUGUGUUUUAUCCCACAUAGAGGGGUUUGAAAUGGACAAGGCAGGAAGAGUGAAAAGACUGGCCACAACAGGUGACCGAAGUGGUUAUCAGAAUACCGCACUGCUAACAGGAGAAACAAACCUCCAAGACCUGGGUAUCCCUCACUGUGUCUCAGAUGCCCAGCCCCUGAGCAAUGAAGCAUGAGCGCUUUUAAACCUCAUUCUUGGGCAACUAUGACUCCUGUUCCACAGAAGAGACAGUGGCGCACGGAUCAAGGUCAGGACCACUUGUACUUCAGAUGCUUCAGAGAGUGUCUCUGUCUCUCCCUAACCAUCCAAUGACAACCUCAAACCAGAACAACAGCUCAGCCAAAAUGAGAUUUACAACUUGGCCAGGAGUAAACAGUGUGAGAGAUCCAGCUCAGGAUACGUGAGAACUUCCUGAGAUUUUCUGUAUGGCGCACUCCACCUUUGCUAGGCCUACAGAAAAGCAUGCCUAUAGCACCACAGGAUAGUUGUGGAUGCUCUGGUACAGAACUGAAACGCUACUUUACGCUCAGUGAAGUCACACGCAAGGCACCUGUGACUUGGAGCUAAGGGAGAUCCCAGCCCUGGUAGGGAGCAGACACCGUUGGGCGGAAUGGAGGCCUUCAGAGGGAGAGGGCACACUUGCUGUGAGGCUGGGAACUUUUAUAUGUGGCUGGCCCAUUUCCCAGGACAUUCCUCGGCGCCUGGUACAUAGCUGACGUUUCUACGGUUUUCUUAAAUAAAUGGAAUCUGGGCACCUUGUGAAUAUGCCUUGUUGAUAUUAAAACUGUGAGUUUCUACUUGUGUAGAAAUGAAACAACACGGCCAAAAUUACUCCCGGGGGAACUGUGUAUGCUUUACGUAAAGAUAACUUUAAUAACGGCAGAUAUAAACCAGCAACAACUGCCACAUACUAAAGUCCAAUUAAAAGGCACCAUGCCAGGCCCUUUAAGGACGUAUUUCACGUUACUCUUGCAGGAUACCAAGAAGAUGCUAGAGCCCUUGGGCAAGAGCCAAGGAAUGGCUCCAAGAAAUGGGGGCCCCAAGAAUUUAAUAUCCUAGUUGAAGGAUGUCUAGCUAGUGGCAAGCGCACUGGAUACAAAGGCGGGGUGGUCCCUUAUCUGUCCACUCCAUCUCUGUGUGUACCUAAGUGUUCACUCACUGAUGAGGAGAAGAUUAAAAAGUACAGCAUCCUGAUCAAUUUCAGAGGAGCCUGUAAUCCAGCAACCCAGCGUCCUGGGGAGGGCUGGGGACUUGGAUAGGCGUAUUAAUACCAGGGGAUAUUUCAGUGUUGGCCUUCUCUGGACCACAACACGACAGUUACAGGAUCGAAACCCAACCGUAUCCUCAUCUCUGCUAGAUCCCAUAAUGAUUCAGCAGACAUUCAUUAAGACACCAUUAUGAUAUCAUGUCAAAAUACAUAUACUGGGUAGGGCAAGACGUGUGCACUUAAAGCACAGCUCAAAACAAUUCUAGUUCUGGCAAUUUUCAGUGGCUCAUCCUAUUCCACCUCUGUGGAUACUUACACUAGGAGACCAAGAACAGUGUGUGCACGGGGGUGGGGGGUGAGGGGAGGGUCGGGGGCAUCGUGUGUGCAUGUGUGUGAUACUAGUUUAGCAGGGAGAAGGUAGGGUAUUCAGUUACAUCUGAUACAUAUUUUGUCAGAGUAAAAGUAAUUCAAUAGCAGAUGAGGUGUUCCACGUUACGUCAGAUUCGGGAGUAUCAUUCACGCUACUAUAAAUCUGAUCUAAGAGUUUAAUACUAGAAGAUAUCUGGUUCAUAUUUGAAGGACGGCCACCCCGGUUUCCUAAAUAAGAAAUGCAUGUAGGAUUUGCGUAUGUGUGUGAAGCUUUAAAAUAUACACAUAGAAAGCCAAUAGAUAAUGUAGUGUAAAUCAAAUCAAGUUCACCACCACUGGGGAGGAGGAAAGAUGGCUUCUUACAAAUCAGACCCAUGUGUCCAGAAAGAUGGCAAGAGCAAAGGCAGCAGAAUACAGAGUGAGUCCUCAUCUGUGGCUUGUACUCAGCUACAGAUGGCAUCGUGCGCCUGGUCUUCAAGUUCUAGGAUGGAGCCAUGGCCUCCUCUCCUGUCCAGGCGUUCAAUGCCUUGACAUGGAUUUUUUUUUAAUAGUCUAAAUUUUAAAAUAUUGAAAUGAAGUAGCCUCAAGAAAGUGUUUAUGUUUAAAUUAUGUUAAGUAAGUAUUCUUUCAGCUAGACAUUUGCCUAUUCAUAUAUGUGUGUGUGACUCCUGUUUCGCAGAAGAGACAGUACACACACACACACAUACACAUAGAUACGUGCAUAUAUACAUAAUUGACUGGGGAGGGAGCUUGAAGGGAUUAUAGAGGUGGUUUAUGUCCAAAAGAGAGAAGGAUUGUGCUUAAGGAACAAGAGAAUCGGCAGGCUAAGCCUAAUGACAUUGUUAACAUUUCAAGUCUAUACAAGGACUCCACGCUCACAGCAUGCUCCCGAAUGUCCCCAAACCUCCAAACACGAGAGUUGAAAAUAGCUACGCAAUUGCAAUGCAUUGUGAAGUAGCCAUAGUGAGGUGUAUCAUGCAGUUACAAGAAGGCAGGUGAUGGCUGUGUCCCUUGACCUGGAGGGAAUCGGGGAGACAAGCAGUGAGAAUCAGUUUAUGGCGCAUGGACAGGGCAGAGAAUAGGUUCAGCACAGAUGAACAUUAGGGGAGGGAGAAGAGCAAGAAUGACAAGGAGGGGCCUCCGGUGGCCUUUACCUGUAGGCCCUGGCCAGCCAGGAUGGCUAGCUUGGAGACUGUGGGAUGGGGCAGGUUUUGUCCUUGAAUAUUGGCAUGUAGUCCUUGGCUCUGAGAAGUACAUUUGCUCCUUUAAUUGUGAGAAGAUGUUAAUUGAAGAGAGAGGGGAAGAAAAAGAAGAGGAAGAGGAGGAAGAGGAAGAACAGGAGGAAGAGGCAGAGAAUGAAGUAGAGGAGGAAGAAGAGGAGAAAGAGAAGGAGGAAGAGGAGGGGGAGGAAAGGAGAAAGAGAGGAAGAGAGGAAGAGAGGAAGAGAGGAGAGAAACAAAAAACAAAAGAGCUUGCUGGUCAAAGGCCACACUCCAUCAGGAGUCUUUCAACUUUGCCAACUUGGCCAAACUGGGGCACUCUGACAUUGUGUCACAGGAAUGUGCUGACUUAUUAGGGAAGAACACUUUCUCCAAAGCCACCUUCCCAGAAGAAUGAGGGCCGCAAGUGCUGAGCCUGCAGAGGAGCCAGGCGGAGCCGGCAGGUGCUAAGGCAGGUGCGGAAGCCACUCAGACAGAGACCGCGAUGCCAGAAAGCUGACAGGAAUUUUCCAGUUCUCUAAGCUCCAAGAGCAGAUGAACAGGGGGGUCUGCGGGUCUGCUGAGGCUCCCGCAGAGAAGCCCAGGCCCUGUGCAGGUCACCCACUGCCCCCGGGGUCCUCUUAAGGGAGGUGACCACAGAGCAAGUUACUAGAGGUGAAUAAGCAAGCAAGAAGAGCUUUCUGCCCAUCUACGCGUUGUUUUCAAACAGAAUGCAGCUUAGCUUGCCUGGCAUGCAGGGAGCUCCUACUAGAUUCUUCUGUCCUUACCAAAACUUGUAUCUUAAUCCCCCUCCCAAUGUGCCAUCUUGUUUUUCAAUAAAAGUGACAUUCACUACAGAAAAUGAUCAAUAACAGAAAAAACAAUGUGUUUCCCCCAUUUUUGAGCGUGUGCGUGUACAUGUGUGUGCGUGUGUAAGUAUGUACUUGCAUGCUAUAUCUGGAGGCCUAAAGAUGUCAGGAACCCCUCUUCCACCUUCUUCAUUAAGGCAAGGUCUCUCAAUCAAACCCAGAGCUAUCCCAGAUGGUCUUGCUACCUAGCUUGCCCUGGGGAUCCCUGCCUUCUGAGGGUGAAAUUCCAGAAGGGCCAUCAUGGUCCAUCCAGGAGUUACACGGAUCCUGGGGAACCCAAACUCCUGUCCUCACUUUAAUCACUGAGCCAUCUCUAGCCCCAAGGGGAAAAAAAUGAAUGGCAAAAUGCCUGUUAUUCCCACACCACAGAUUAUAGCUGACUUACUAGCGUCAUAUCCCUGGCUCGUCCACAGCAGGGGCACAUCAGAGCUGUCUAGUCAGUGACUGCGAAGAGGAAGGAAGCAGAUAGAUCACCCAGGGUGAUAUUAUCUAUGUCUAUCUCCGUUCUAUUCCUGCAUUUUUAUACAGCCUGGCAACCCCCUAUACUCUGUUCCUUUUAAAUUGCUGGUUUCGCUUAAUAAUAUAUAACAAGACUUCCACUGAUAUUCGGGGCACUGGGGCCUCUCUAUUUGGUCCUGGGACAAGCAGUGAUGCAGUGCACUUAGUUGGUCAGACAGUGGCUACUGGUGGCAAGUGGCAGCUCGGGAGGGUGGUCACAUUUUCUCUAACUGUGCCAGAGAAGCCAUGGGGAGGUCAGCGUCACUUUGACUUUUUUUUUUUUCUAUCUUACUAAAUGGCUUAUACCACCAUAUCUCCUUGUGUGUAAUUCUAUGCAUACUUGUACAUGCAUAUGAAUUCUUCCAGAUGAAUUAAUAGUGCAAAUACGCCAAGGAGAAAAAUGUGACAGAUCUUUUAGUGAACUCAUAUGCUGGUCCUGGACAAGGGUAUGCACACACACACAUACACACACACACACACACACACACACACACACACACACACGUUCUCAAGCACACAUACUCCGUUGCAGCUGUUGCACGUAAUUAAUGUGCUAAUUAUACAUAAUUAUCUAAUUACUAAAAGAAGGAGUCAAAGCAAGUGCGGUAGUGAAGAUAUCAAAGUCUGCUCCUUCUAGAAUGUUCUACGGCUUGGGCUGUCUUGCUGAACUGGAAAGUCACGCUGCCUGCGCCCCACUCCCUGAGGGCUCUGUGCAGAGAGAUACCCAGGGACCACUGCGAACUGGGUGACACGGCAUCAUCCAUUUUCAGGAGAGGUUUGUUUAUGAACAUCACACGGAAUAGCGUUGUAUUCCUUGCAGUGCUGUGGGACCCAGGACCUGUAACAGGUCCGUGGGCAUGAAGAGGUUUCCAAACUCCUGUUCUCAAGAAUGUAGGUGGUUAUAUCAGUUUGAACGGCAGCAUUCUCCUGGACCCUAGGUGGUUUGUCUGAGGCUGGCUCUGAUAAGCACACAGGAAAUUCUCCUCCUCCUCCUCCUCCUCCUCCUCCUCCUCAUCAUCAUCAUCAUCAUCAUCAUCAUCAUCACCAUCACAGGUGUGCAGUGGUAAGUGAACGGCUACAGAAAACUAUCUGGGACAUGUUGUCAGUCCUUGCCUGUAACUGAGGUAGGUGACAAUGACCUGGUGAGCACUGAAGUUCUGAAAAGCUUUCUCUCUUGAAUCCUUUUCCCCACCUGCCCAUCUGUAAAGGUCAGGGGGAGCCACGGCAACCCAGGCCAGACGACUGCAAUCCCCCAUGGGCCAUCCAGAUAACUGCUGUCCCCUACAGACCGUUCAGAUGACUGCCAUCUCCUAUAGACGGUUCACUCAUCUUAACAUGAAGCUUUUCACUGAGCCCAAAGGAAACACUUUACAGUAAGGAGACGGAGACACUGGGAAGCCUCAGACUUGAUGGAACACAAGGACCACAGCGCUCUACACAGGCUAUAGAUACACUGUCUCACCCCUGCCUUCUGGGAGUAAAUUACUCUCUCUCUGUUUCUCUUUCUGUCUCUGUCUCUCUCUCUCUCUCCCCUCUUUCUCUCUCUCUUUCCCUCUCUCUCUCUGCACAUAUAUGUGCAUAUAUGAUAUACAUAUAUAUAUACAUAUGUGUAUAUAUCUGUACAUAUGUGUAUGUAUAUAUACAUACAUAUAUAUAUAUAUAUAUAUUUACACAGUGAGAUGUAUACAUAGAUGUGUGUAUACACACACAUAUCUAUCUAUCUAUCUAUCUAUCUAUCUAUCUAUCUAUCUAUCUAUCUAUCUAUUGAGGUGGGAGACUCUAUAGAGCAGGCUGGCCUUGAACUCACUAUACAGCCCAGGCUAGAUGCAAAUUUAACCUUCUUCUGCCCCAGUAUCUUGACUGCUGGGAUCAAGGGCAUCCCUCACCAUGCCCUGUCCAAAUAAUUUAAUCUUGUGGCCAGUCCCGAUCCCAGGACAGAUUCAUUCCCUAUCUGAAGAGAAUGGCUGGCCAAGCCACAUGUUCACCUCUUCGAGGUGUAAUUUGUUGAUUUGACAACUCAUAGUCCUGCCUUUCCCCAAAACAUGAUUCAAAGCACCCCCACACCCUUUAGUGCUACCAACAGGGCACAAUGGACCAUGACAAGCAGAAGGAAAGAAAACACAAGCCAGCUGGAGCCUCGGAAGGCGCAUGCUCCUUACUUUUACUAUUUAACUUUACCUUUUAAUCCUGGGCCGUAAAAACUGUCCUAAUAAAAGAUCCAUAAAUAUCUCUGGAAUGCGCAGCCAAGAGGCUUUGAUGGCCCAGGAGCAUAUGCUAAGCUCCCCUUCUCUCUCUUCUGUCGGGAUAAGUACUGGGCUGCCGGAGGGGGCAGGCUGGGUGGAAGGAAAAAUCCAAAUUGCCUAGGAUGAACAAUUAUCCAUAUGUAUAUAUUAUAAUUACAUAUAAUAUAAAAUAUUAUAUAAAUAUAGAUUAUGUAAACUAUAUCAUACUGCAUUACUUAACACAUGACUAUAUAUGAGAAUACAGCCGCAGCCUAGGAGACUCAGUAUAUUCUGAUUCACAAAUCUCUUUUCCUAUAGUUUCACUCUUCAGAGAGCAAGGGCUCCAUUUAUAUUUGUUAAGUGAAUAAAUGAAUGAACAAAUGAAUGAAUGAAUGAAUGGGCUUGAUUAGAAUAUUGUUCUUUUUAAAAAUAAAGUGUUAGAUUUAUUUUAUUUUCUGUGUUUGGCAGUUUUGCCUGCACAUAUGUAUGUGCACCACAUGCAUGCCUGGGGCCCUGUCAUAAGAGGGUAUCAGAUCCCCUGGAACUGAGGUCUCAGACGGUCAUGAACCACCACGCAGGUUCUGAGAACCACACCUAGGUCCUCUGUAAGAGCGAGAAGUGCUCUUAACCACUGAGUCAUCUCUCCAGCCUCAAACAGUGUUCCUUUAAGUUCUAUUUCUAAUUAUGCAUUGGCUCUUAAGUAAAUACAAUUACCAAAUAAUUAAGAAUUAGAUAUGGGCUUUCUUGAACACAUUUAAUUUUCCUUAAGAAUGCCUCCCUUCCUCUUUCUCUCUCUCCCUUUUUUAGUUAGGAGCACAGAAGAUUUUAUUUUCCUACCAGCUUCUUCCAAGUUUAAAUUCUGGAAAUAAGCCUGCGUUUUUAAUAACCUUAUCAUUAGAGCAUCUUUCUGUAUGAACUGUUCACGAGGAGUGGCCUUUAUAAUGUGAUAUAGAAAUGCAAGUUUAUAGGAGUUUGCCAUUUAAACUACUAAAGACAUGCCUUUUCAUCUAUUUCUAUGGGCUCUUCUUCCCUUUUGCCAAUGCACACUAUGCUGAGAGAAUUCUGCAGGGCCACCUUCCUUGUCGUGAUAUCGUGACUACCACGACGCCCAGGGCUGUGCAGAUGCAAGUUAUAUCUGUGAACUGCAGAGUCUUAGACAGAACCCGCUCCCUGUGAUGCGGUGUUUCUGACAGUCACUGAUCUUGUCAGCGUACGUACUCUUCCUUUUUGUGUGGACAGUGGAGUCCUGAGAGCCCAUCUUCCCCAUUUCCAGGGCAAGAUUGUGGGAGAGCAGGAGCUGUGCAACCCAGCACUAAGCAUAACCUGUCAUAAACGGCACGCGGUGCUUAGUAUUCAGAACAAGACAUCUCUGUCUCAUUCUCGAAGACCCUUUUGACAAAAGCCAUCUCGCAGCUGCCAGGAGUAUCGAGUCCAGCUGAGGACAAACUUCAAGAUGAACCUGAAAUCAAUUGGCCAUCAAAUUUUCAUGCCUCUCCCAGACUAUCUGUGGCAUUUUAAUUACAAGCACCCUCGGCGGGGGGUGCUACAGAUAUUGACACUUGGCUCCUACAAUAAACUUUAUUGGCAACCUCUGUCUGCAUGCAGGACUUGCCUAGAAUAACAAGAAAUGUAUGAGAAGCAGGAGUGGAGUGCAAUUGCUCAAAAUCACCCCCCUCCCCUCCCCUGAAAGGGGACUAGGCAUUACUUGGCACGAGCGAUAGGACAAGGAAUGAUCUGAGUUGGAUAAAUGACUGGGUGUGGAGAGAUGGGUCAGUGGCAAAGCACGUGCCACAAGGGUGAGGGGCUGAGUUUAGCUUUAAGAAACCCAUGGAGAGCCAAAUGUGAGAGCACAUGUUUAUACUCCCAGUGGAUGGUGCUGAGUUGGGAGGUAGAGACAGGAGACUCCCUAGAAAGCUCACCAGCCACCAGAAAGCUGGUGGACGUUAAGGAGGGCCAAUAUCUGAGGUUGACUUGUGCUCUCCACAUGUGCACUCUGUGGCACAUACGUCCUUGCACACAUGAAGAGGUAAGCAUGCACACACAGGCACAUGUGCACAGACAAUGUGCACUUAAUCUUCAGAUUACACGUGCUGCCAUGUCCUAGGAGUCCUAGGGUACCUGCCUAUGGCACAGCAGAGUGUCAUCUUGCUUUCUUCUGUAUGGGAUGAGUAUUGCUGAAAUACAUCAUUCCCCAGCCCUUCAAAGGACAGAAUGGACCAAAGGCCAUAGGCUUGAGUUAAGGGAAUGGAAUCACUCACUGCUGGUGGUCGGGCAGUCUGUGUGUUGGGUUGGUAGACAUCUAUCUACUUCAGGAGCAAGAGAAGCCAGCCUCUGACAUUUCCUCGCUUUGGCCCCGGCUGUUAGAUGGGCUGUAAAUAUCAAGAGGAAGUCAAGGAGACCUUGUGAUUCGCCAGCCACAAAGGAUCCUUGCUCUGUGAAAAGUAAGGACUUUAGAACUGCAGGCUUGAAGCUGAGCACUCCUCAGCAGGGAGUGGGGGUGGGGAGUUGGGACAAAGGUUACAGCAUUGUUGUGUCUCCCAGUGUCACAGACGCUCAGGCACAAUCCUGCAGCUGCCUGAUACGGACCCAAUAUUCUGAUAAAUAUAACAACUGGCUUUCUGAAAACAAGAGAGAGCGUAUGAACAGGUACACGGGGCUGUCACACACUCUCUAGUGCAAAGGACAACUGGUGUGGCCUUUAUCAGUAAGAGACAUGCAAAACUGUUUGUUACAAAUGCCACACAGCCAACUGAGGCUCAAGGGAAGCUUUUAUUGAUUUGUGACAAACACUUGUAUCCAGAGCUGAGCUAUGGCCCAGCCUGGGGAGCAAGUGACAACCCCUCUGAGUGUGGCUUGAUGAUUCAGAGUGAAUCACUUAGUGUGAACACUGAGACAUGUACUCUGGCAUUCCACACAUUCUUCCAUUGUGCGAGUGAAUUCUUCGCUGGAUUGGAUAAGUCAGUUUUUAAUUCGGUGUUCUGUGCGUUCAUGAUGUAAUAGGUACAGGUAUGUUAGUUAGCCUACAACCUAUUCUGCAAUGGGAACAUUGUAACCACUUUCUCCAUUAAGACCACAUAGAUAAAGCAAUCUUGCUUCCCUGUGUAGGUUUUGCCCAUUCCUGUGGGGCAAAUAUGCCUGCCAUGGCUGCUCUCAAGACAUCAAGGCAAUAUCCUUAAACACAGGGUCUGAUUGUGUUUACAUCUUUCCACUAUUUGGAACGCAAUGGACCUCGGAAGUCUCUUUACCAACCUUUCAACUUUAGGACAUGAUUUUGCCAUCUACAGAGUUCUCGGUAGAGAACCACGACCUUGAGUCACGAAACAAAAUUUUCAAAAAAACGGUAUCUUCAAACACUCGAAGUGGGCGUUUGAGUUUGUUUUGGGAAGCAUUUACAUCUAUCCUUGGCCCAGCUUGACCCCGCGGCCACAAGCUGGACUUGGCUACAAAAGCACUGGUAAUGGUCAGAUGUGGUUUCAAGAAAAGAAAAAUGCAGGAAGCACAGAGCUCUGAUAUUAAUUGAAUAACUCAGUUACUGCAUAGCCCCAGGGCCAUGUAGGGAGAGAGUUCCCUUCAGAGUGAACAUAGUGGGCAUUAUACAAAAGUACACAAGUAGACACACACACACACACACCAGGAGAUUCUGCCAACAAACCCCUGUGUUGUCAUCUUACAGACAGGGACCCUUUGAAACACAGGCUGGUGAUCAAUGCCUGAAAUACAACAGCAGAAGAUUAUCAGAAAGUUGUAUCUGGAAGAGUUGGUAGGCCCACAAAGAAAGUGGGAAGAAUAGACCCCACUAUAGAGAGUAGUCAACUGCAGUCCCCGUUGACAGGGCUAUCAAUAGACGGCCUCCCCACUAGCUUUUGUCUACUCCUUAGAGGGUUUUGCUUUGUUUUGUUUUAAUAAGAAACAAUCACGGAGCUGGAGAGAUGGCUGAAUGGUUAGAGCACUCUCUGCUCCUGCAGAGGUUCGGUUCCCAACACCGCAUUGGAGAAUUUACAGUGAGCCGUAUCUCAAGCUUCAGAGAAUCUGCCCCCUCGACUGGUACCUCAUGUGCACAUACCCACACAUAGGCACAUAUAUGUGCACAUACUUAAAAGUUAAAUAAGUAUUUUUAAAUGAGAAAAAAAUCGCAAUCUUCUUGUGAAUUAUUUGCUAUCAUUACAAAGGCAAAAACAAUAUUGAUUCAUCAAGCUGAGACUGCUCUCUCUCUCUCUAGGCAGCCCACAGAGGAGGAGGAAGAAGAAGAGGAGGAGGAGGAGGAGGAGCAGCAGCAGGAGCAGCAGCAGCAGCAGCAGCAGCCGCCUCCUCCGCCAUCACCUCCGUGCAUCAUGUCUCAAUUCCAUGACACCACAUGCGGUUUCUGCAUGCUUUCCACAUGCAGUAUCAGGAGACAUCAUUUGUGCAGGCUUGACUAGGGAGGGACAGGACCACGGCAGGAUGCUGGUGCAGCCCCAGAUAGGAUGUCCACUGAAACACAGAUGCCAUGUGCCUGUUUCCUCAAGGAUAAGGGACCCGAUGUGACCCGCUGGGGGCUUGUUUGCAGGGAUCUGCAAAACCUCACAUCAGAGACACACAGAUUUAAUGAGCUGAGCACACUAGCCAUCUUCCAAAGCACUCCCAGGAGAGGGUGCAGCUGGGACACAUCUACAAGACGGGAACCAGAGUACCCUGGCACUUGUCCGAGACGGGGCCUGUUGGUUGCCUUUGCCAGUUGUAUCUGUGCCCCCCCCCCCCCCACGAUGGUCAGUUGCUCUAAAUAAAUAUCCGUGGUUCCUGGGCAUAACUCAGACUUUGCAUUUAAAAUUAGAUCUAUAGUGGCUUGGCCAAAAUUUGUGUGUGAGUGUGUGUGUGCACUCGAGAGUGUGCGUGUGUGCGUGCAUGCGCGCGAUGGGUAUGUAGCUGCCUGCAGAGGCCAGAGGAGCAUGUCAGAGUUCUUGGAGCUAGAGUUACAGGUGGUUAUGUGCUGCCUACUACGGGAGCUGGAAAGCAAACGUGGGUCAUUUAAAAGAAGAGCAAUGAGCACUCUUGAUGCUGAGCCACCUCUCCCGUCUUUGCUUUUUCUUCAGUACGGUUUUAUAUUUGUGUGCAUUUGUAGUGUGUAUAUGUAUGCGUGUGCACGUGAUGUUCACACCAAUUCCCCACAGAGUCAACAUUAGAUGUCUUCCUCUACUACUCUCUAUACAUGCCUUCCCCUACCCCUUUGAUUCAGUAUGCGCCAUUUCAGCUCAGUUGGCUGCCAGGGACCCUAGGAUCUGUCUCUAUCUCUACCUAGGUUUCCUCAGCUGGAGCCAAGUGCUCAGCCUUCUUAAGUGGGUUCUGGAGAUCUGACCUCAGGUUCUCAUGCUUAUUCAGCAAACAAUUUACCUGCUGAGCCACCUCCCCAAUCCUUUCAAAAUUAAUUUAUAUUCAGAUAUUAUUACCGUUACUUGUUCCUUUAAACAGAGCAGCACACAGAGAAAUCGCUAGUGUUCUCUUCUAUCAGAACACGGGCUGGUCCAGCCUACACAUUUGCUCAUGGUUGGGUGGACAGGUAGCAAGCAAUGCUAUCUGGGCUGACCUCUUCAUCUGAGAUCACCUUGUCUUCGUUAGAAGAAUCUUGCUUCUCCUGUGUGUUCCACAGUGGUACAGAACAGACAGGGCCCGAGUCUUACUGUAGAACAGGCCUCUGGUAAGUUAUAAUUAAUCAGCUUCAACCUUCUAACAGGAGCCAGCUGGUGAACGUGACAUUGCUGGAACUGGACAGGUGUGGCAGUGAGACACACGGUCCCUUGCCGGUCACAGGGUAUUCCAGUAGGUGGGUAGGACUGGGGAGAUUCUGAGCGCCCACCUCUGAGGACUGGACAGAGUAAAAUAAAAAAAGAGUGAAAGAUUCCCUUUCAUUUUUUUCUUCUUCUCUUUCUCAGGUUAAUAUGAAAUUUUAGGAGCACAGGAGCGAGACUUCCGGCUCGACAGAGCGGCUAAGUCACCGAGCCGACUUUUCUCUGAAGCAAAAGCGAUGUACAAUGUUGAUGUGUGCCAAGAACUCACUUGGGCAUGGGGCCAAGAGAAUGCGGCCUGUCAGUCGUCCGUGGGGGAACGAGAGAGCAGGGAGUCCAAGCACAUUUGGAGAGAUGCCUUACAGUUCUGAGGCAGCCUUUUCACGUCCACAGAAGCCCUGCCCCCCCCCCCCCCACCCAAACUCGAAACCUCUUGUUUCUGGCUCUGGGAGGCAGCUGUUGGCGAAGACAUACCUCUUUGGCAAACCAACGUCAUCCUCAAGCAGACCCUGUGGUGUGAGGGGUCUGGAAGGGGCCAGGCCAAGGUGGUAAACCUUCCUACCAGAUCAUCUCUUGUCUCUUGCAUUCAGCCAAGGCAAUGUGCUCUGCAGAGCCAACCCUUGCCUGUCUCAGAAUCAUGACUUGCUUGUGACUAAGUAGAGGCUGAAUCGGCACCCUGAUCCCCCACACCCCCCCACACCCCCCAGAGCCCUGGAGUCCCCUCCACACCCCCCCCCCAGCCCUGGAGUCCCCUCCACCCGCUCUUUACAAAAUCAGUUCAUCUGGGUAAUUUUUAAAGCGCAGCACGUGGGCCAGCUGGAAUUGUUUGCCUCUUCCUGGCCAAAUGUUUGGGGCGCCUUCCAGCCUUCAGUCUACAUGCUGUGUGUGUGUGCUAGCAAGAUCUGGAAGGCACGUCCAGGACUGGGAAGGAGGGUGUUGCUGACCGCAGGACCCGCCAACUUCCCUAGGCAGGAAUGAGAAAGAAGCCUGCUCUUUUUAGGCAAGCCACUGUCAGGCAACACUGUCAGGCAGUGAUUCUCUGGGCUUGGAUAUUAAUGCUCACAUUCACUGGCUUCUGAGCUAAACCCCCCAUCCCAGAUCCUUAAAAAGAGAAGAUGAUUUUCCAGGGAAAGGAGUGUGUGUGUGUGUGUGUGUGUGUGUGUGUGUGUGUGUGUGUGUGUGUGUAUGUGUGUGUGUGUGUGUGUGUGUGAGCUUAUUUAUGCUGCUCUUAUCCAGAACAGGGCUGAUAGGAAAGUCACUGGACAAGGGUCUGCCUGGCAGGAUGCUGCCUGCCUUCCUUCUAGAAAGCAGGCUACUUAGAUAAGGUGCAGUAGUGGCAGAAGUCGCCUUGAACACUUGGCAAGUGUGUUCAUUUAGAAGGAAAUAAUACAAAGAGAAGGGCAGAAUAUUCUGUCUGCCUCCUCCCUCCAGCCACGGGGAAGGUAGAUAAUUAGACUUCAUUUACAAUCCAGAGCUUUCAAAAAUAAGACCUGUGUUGGUUAUUUAUUUAUUUAUUUUUAAAGAUCUUUUAACUUUGAAGUUCUGGAGAUUGGGGCGGGAAGCUGCCUUGUGUGAAAUGUGCCUGGCCUAUUGUACUUGGGGGAGUCGGAAAAAAAAAAAAAAAAAAAAAAAAAAAA